UUCCAGGGCUCUUCUUACUUUAAAAAAAAAAACAAAAAAAAAACAGGGCGUGAGGAGCUGCCAUAGGUUAUCUGCAUAAGAGGAGGGGCUUACAGCGCUAGGACGCCGAUUGGCUGCAGAGGCGGGCCCCUCGGCGUCGGCCGUUGAGACGUGUAGAGGGGGCGGGAAUGUGGCGCCUGUCGACCAGGCGGUUGGGGUGCAGAAUUUGCACGGGGGAAGGGGGUGAGGCGGAGCGUGCGCCGUGCGUUCGUGGAAAAAUGGAAGCAGAGAGACGUAGGGACGCCGAGAGUGGAAGGAAACGAUACAGGUCAGACCUACUACCAGUUCAGCAACUGUGUUUUGAAGGCAGCAGAGAUAUGCACGGAAUAUUAUAGAAGUAGGGGAACAAAAUGAGACCUUGCCUGGGAAGGUUCAGAAAUGCUUCUAGAAAAACGUGACUCUUAUUAAGAGAUAUGAAGAACUAGUUAGGAUUUAGUCAGGUUUGAGGGGAGGGUACAUAUCUCAGGCCCAAUAAACUGAUGAGUGGAGGCAUGGGUUUGGGGAUCUGUACCUAGGCUGGUGUGGUAAAUUAAGGAACUGCGUAUGAUGGAAAAUGAGAGCAGAAAAAUUAGCAAGAUCCAGAGGCCCAUUAAGAUAGCUGAGAUGAACUCGACCAAAAAAAAAAAAAUCCAAUUAAAAAAUGGGCAGAAGACCUGAUUAGAUAAUUCUCCAAAGAGGAAAUA
Molecule: long non-coding RNA, 722 nt
Organism: Pteropus alecto (black flying fox)
Lineage: Eukaryota; Metazoa; Chordata; Mammalia; Chiroptera; Pteropodidae
Exons: 2
Source: RefSeq, a predicted model, not a curated record